CCUACGGGAGGCAGCAGUGGGGAAUAUUGCACAAUGGGCGCAAGCCUGAUGCAGCCAUGCCGCGUGUGUGAAGAAGGCCUUCGGGUUGUAAAGCACUUUCAGCGGGGAGGAAGGCGGUGAGGUUAAUAACCUCAUCGAUUGACGUUACCCGCAGAAGAGGCACCGGCUAACUCCGUGCCAGCAGCCGCGGUAAUACGGAGGGUGCAAGCGUUAAUCGGAAUUACUGGGCGUAAAGCGCACGCAGGCGGUCUGUCAAGUCGGAUGUGAAAUCCCCGGGCUCAACCUGGGAACUGCAUUCGAAACUGGCAGGCUAGAGUCUUGUAGAGGGGGGUAGAAUUCCAGGUGUAGCGGUGAAAUGCGUAGAGAUCUGGAGGAAUACCGGUGGCGAAGGCGGCCCCCUGGACAAAGACUGACGCUCAGGUGCGAAAGCGUGGGGAGCAAACAGGAUUAGAUACCCGUGUAGUC
This 465-nucleotide ribosomal RNA is filed under the name uncultured Klebsiella sp. RNAcentral's name for it is "bacterial SSU rRNA". It matches the Rfam family "Bacterial small subunit ribosomal RNA", at positions 338 to 795 of the family's 1533-position model. Lineage: Bacteria; Pseudomonadati; Pseudomonadota; Gammaproteobacteria; Enterobacterales; Enterobacteriaceae. The record is from RNAcentral.